Molecule: ribosomal RNA, 92 nt
Filed under: uncultured eukaryote
Lineage: Eukaryota
Description: partial Eukaryotic small subunit ribosomal RNA
Rfam family: Eukaryotic small subunit ribosomal RNA
Source: RNAcentral
CCUGCUGGACGGUGCCGCUGAUUGAACCUUAUCAUUGAGAGGAAGGAGGUGUCGUAACAAGGUUUCCGUAGGUGAACCUGCGGAAGGAUCAU